RNAcentral lists this transfer RNA (64 nucleotides) under Cichlidogyrus sclerosus. Its description in RNAcentral is "tRNA-Phe". It matches the Rfam family "tRNA". From Rfam's summary of the family: Transfer RNA (tRNA) molecules are approximately 80 nucleotides in length. The record is from RNAcentral. Lineage: Eukaryota; Metazoa; Platyhelminthes; Monogenea; Dactylogyridea; Ancyrocephalidae.
UUUUUUUUAGCUUAAUGCAGAGCGUUAGUUUGAAGAACUAGAGGUACUUCCAUAGUAAGAAGAU